GCCGUCACUCAAUAGAUAAAAGUUAUUUUAAAGAUAAUAUGCUGAUCUUCUCUAAGAGUUCACAUCGACGGGAAGGUCUGACAUCUCGAUAUCGGCUUUUCGCCACCCGAGACCGUAGUAUGUUUCAAGGUUUGGGCUAUUCUCCCAUUUGGGACGUGAGCAGGGUUCAGAAA
Rhodamnia argentea is the source of this 173-nucleotide long non-coding RNA. RefSeq lists it as uncharacterized. The record is from RefSeq and is a predicted model, not a curated record. Lineage: Eukaryota; Viridiplantae; Streptophyta; Magnoliopsida; Myrtales; Myrtaceae. The transcript has 3 exons.